AGUGAACGCUGGCGGUAGGCCUAACACAUGCAAGUCGAACGGCAGCACAGUAAGAGCUUGCUCUUACGGGUGGCGAGUGGCGGACGGGUGAGGAAUACAUCGGAAUCUACUUUUUCGUGGGGGGUAACGUAGGGAACCUUACGCUAAUACCGCAUACGACCUACGGGUGAAAGCAAGGGAUCUUCGGACCUUGCGCGAUUGAAUGAGCCGAUGUCGGAUUAGCUAGUUGGCGGGGUAAAGGCCCACCAAGGCGACGCUCCGUAGCUGGUCUGAGAGGAUGAUCAGCCACACUGGAACUGAGACACGGUCCAGACUCCUACGGGAGGCAGCAGUGGGGAAUAUUGGACAAGGGGCGCAAGCCUGAUCCAGCCAUACCGCGUGGGUGAAGAAGGCCUUCGGGUUGUAAAGCCCUUUUGUUGGGAAAGAAAAGCAGCAGGUUAAUACCCCGCUGUUCUGACGGUACCCAAAGAAUAAGCACCGGCUAACUUCGU
RNAcentral lists this ribosomal RNA (491 nucleotides) under uncultured bacterium. RNAcentral describes it as "partial 16S ribosomal RNA". It matches the Rfam family "Bacterial small subunit ribosomal RNA", at positions 29 to 506 of the family's 1533-position model. The record is from RNAcentral.